Molecule: long non-coding RNA, 636 nt
Organism: Drosophila navojoa
Lineage: Eukaryota; Metazoa; Arthropoda; Insecta; Diptera; Drosophilidae
Source: RefSeq, a predicted model, not a curated record
AUAAUUUAAUCAAAUCAAAAAUCUAUCAAAUCGCCACAAGAAUAAUCAAAAACCAAAAAACAAUUUCAUCAACUCAAUGAUUUUGUAAAACUCGUUCAAAAUCCUAAGGACCGGGACAAUCGGAUCUAUAAUUAUUUCUCACAGCCAUAGAAAUCAAUUAUAGCUGACAACAGACUACAACAAACGAUGCAAUUUAAUGCACUUGUCCCUAGCUUAAGUACCAGCAAAUACUUAGGAUCCGCGAAGUAAACAGAAUGAUGUUUAACUUGGGAACAGUUUCUUUUUAGUGAAAUUUCAUAAAACUAACUUUUAGCAUUGUAGUUGAGAUGAAAAUGUAUUUUUAAAAUAUUUUUUUCAAUUGUUAAACGCGAUUUGGUAGCAGCACUAAAAACAAAAGGAGCAAAACAACAAAAAACUCUAACACAACUUACGAACUCUAUUAGCGAAGCGAAUCAUUACUAACCUUAACUCUUAAGCCGAGAGAAUGAAUUAAUCCAGAGAUAACAAAACGAAACGAAAAACAACGCAAUCGACAAUUCAAAAUGUAUCCGGAUAAUACGAAAGCGCAUCCUGUAAACGAUUCAUAAUAUUCAUGAUAAUAAAAUGAAAGCAAAAGCAAAUAAAUAAAAUUUUCAA